This 1397-nucleotide ribosomal RNA is filed under the name Pseudomonas sp. R26(2017). Its description in RNAcentral is "bacterial LSU rRNA". It matches the Rfam family "Bacterial large subunit ribosomal RNA", at positions 1552 to 2925 of the family's 2925-position model. The record is from RNAcentral. RNAcentral also lists the same sequence under 1 other name. Lineage: Bacteria; Pseudomonadati; Pseudomonadota; Gammaproteobacteria; Pseudomonadales; Pseudomonadaceae.
AACCCUGAGGCGUGAUGACGAUGCACUACGGUGCAGAAGUAGUUGAUGCCCUGCUUCCAGGAAAAUCCUCUAAGCUCCAGGUAACAUUAAAUCGUACCCCAAACCGACACAGGUGGUCAGGUAGAGAAUACCAAGGCGCUUGAGAGAACUCGGGUGAAGGAACUAGGCAAAAUGGUGCCGUAACUUCGGGAGAAGGCACGCUGGCAUGUAGGUGAAGUCCCUUGCGGAUGGAGCUGAAGCCAGUCGAAGAUACCAGCUGGCUGCAACUGUUUAAUAAAAACACAGCACUGUGCAAACACGAAAGUGGACGUAUACGGUGUGACGCCUGCCCGGUGCUGGAAGGUUAAUUGAUGGGGUCAGCCGCAAGGCGAAGCUCUUGAUCGAAGCCCCAGUAAACGGCGGCCGUAACUAUAACGGUCCUAAGGUAGCGAAAUUCCUUGUCGGGUAAGUUCCGACCUGCACGAAUGGCGUAAUGAUGGCCAGGCUGUCUCCACCCGAGACUCAGUGAAAUUGAACUCGCUGUGAAGAUGCAGUGUACCCGCGGCAAGACGGAAAGACCCCGUGAACCUUUACUAUAGCUUGACACUGAACAUUGAGCCUUGAUGUGUAGGAUAGGUGGGAGGCUUUGAAGCGUGGACGCCAGUCUGCGUGGAGCCAUCCUUGAAAUACCACCCUUUAAUGUUUGAUGUUCUAACUCGGCCCCAUAAUCUGGGGUGAGGACAGUGUCUGGUGGGUAGUUUGACUGGGGCGGUCUCCUCCCAAAGAGUAACGGAGGAGCACGAAGGUUAGCUAAUCACGGUCGGACAUCGUGAGGUUAGUGCAAAGGCAUAAGCUAGCUUGACUGCGAGAGUGACGGCUCGAGCAGGUACGAAAGUAGGUCUUAGUGAUCCGGUGGUUCUGAAUGGAAGGGCCAUCGCUCAACGGAUAAAAGGUACUCCGGGGAUAACAGGCUGAUACCGCCCAAGAGUUCAUAUCGACGGCGGUGUUUGGCACCUCGAUGUCGGCUCAUCACAUCCUGGGGCUGAAGUAGGUCCCAAGGGUAUGGCUGUUCGCCAUUUAAAGUGGUACGCGAGCUGGGUUUAGAACGUCGUGAGACAGUUCGGUCCCUAUCUGCCGUGGGCGUUGGAAGAUUGAGAGGGGUUGCUCCUAGUACGAGAGGACCGGAGUGAACGCACCACUGGUGUUCGGGUUGUCAUGCCAAUGGCAUUGCCCGGUAGCUAAGUGCGGAAAAGAUAAGCGCUGAAAGCAUCUAAGCGCGAAACUUGCCUCAAGAUGAGUCUUCCCUGGGCCUUUAAGGCCCCUGAAGGAACGUUUAAGACUAAGACGUUGAUAGGCUGGGUGUGUAAGUGCAGCGAUGCAUUGAGCUAACCAGUACUAAUGAUCCGUGAGGCUUAACC